This 253-nucleotide ribosomal RNA is filed under the name uncultured bacterium. Its description in RNAcentral is "partial 16S ribosomal RNA". It matches the Rfam family "Bacterial small subunit ribosomal RNA", at positions 524 to 776 of the family's 1533-position model. The record is from RNAcentral.
UACAGAGGGGGCAAGCGUUGUUUGGAAUUACUGGGCGUAAAGGGCGCGUAGGCGGCCUGUUAAGUCGAACGUGAAAUCCCCGGGCUCAACCCGGGAACUGCGUCCGAUACUGGCAGGCUUGAAUCCGGGAGAGGGAUGCGGAAUUCCAGGUGUAGCGGUGAAAUGCGUAGAUAUCUGGAGGAACACCGGUGGCGAAGGCGGCAUCCUGGACCGGCAUUGACGCUGAGGAGCGAAAGCCAGGGGAGCAAACGGG